UACGGAGGGGGCUAGCGUUGUUCGGAAUCAUUGGGCGUAAAGGGCGCGUAGGCGGCCGAUCAAGUCGGAGGUGAAAUCCCUCGGCUCAACUGAGGAAUUGCCUUCGAUACUGUUCGGCUUGAGUCCUGGAGAGGGUAGCGGAAUUCCAGGUGUAGCGGUGAAAUUCGUAGAUAUCGGGAGGAACAUCAGUGGCGAAGGCGGCGAUCUGGGAAGUUACUGACGCUGAGGUGCGAAAGCGUGGGGAGCAAACAGG
Molecule: ribosomal RNA, 253 nt
Filed under: uncultured bacterium
Lineage: Bacteria
Description: partial 16S ribosomal RNA
Rfam family: Bacterial small subunit ribosomal RNA
Source: RNAcentral